GAUGAAGAACGUAGCGAAAUGCGAUACUUGGUGUGAAUUGCAGGAUCCCGUGAACCACCGAGUCUUUGAACGCAAGUUGCGCCCGAAGCCACUAGGCCGAGGGCACGCCUGCCUGGGCGUCACACGCCGUUGCCCCCCCAUCUACUCCUUCGGGAUUGCGGGGGGGCGGAUGAUGGCCUCCUGUGCGCCUAGCCGCGCGGUUGGCAUAAAUACCAAGUCCUCGGCGACGCACGCCACGACAAUCGGUGGUUGCGAAACCUCGGUUGCCCGUCGUGUGCGUUCGUCGCGCAUCGAGGGCUCGAAAAAAUGCUCGGCUCCGGCUGGGCUUUCAACGCGACCCCAGGUCAGGCGGGGUUACCCGCUGAAUUUAAGCAUAUCAAUAAGCGGAGGA
RNAcentral lists this unclassified non-coding RNA (391 nucleotides) under soil metagenome. Its description in RNAcentral is "partial contains 5.8S ribosomal RNA, internal transcribed spacer 2, and large subunit ribosomal RNA". The stretch from base 1 to 122 matches the Rfam family "5.8S ribosomal RNA", at positions 35 to 154 of the family's 154-position model. The record is from RNAcentral.